This 3015-nucleotide ribosomal RNA is filed under the name Oryzias latipes (Japanese medaka). RNAcentral's name for it is "eukaryotic LSU rRNA". It matches the Rfam family "Eukaryotic large subunit ribosomal RNA", at positions 938 to 3401 of the family's 3401-position model. Lineage: Eukaryota; Metazoa; Chordata; Actinopteri; Beloniformes; Adrianichthyidae. The record is from RNAcentral.
AACCAGCUACUAGAUGGUUCGAUUAGUUUUCGCCCCUAUACCAGGUCGGAUAGCUUGCGCUCCGAAGUCUCGCAGUUUAUCUAUCUGGUAAAGCGAAUGAUUAGAGGCUUGGGUCCGAAACGAUCUCAACCCUAUUCUCAAACUUUAAAUGGGUAAGAAGCCCGGGCCGCUGGCUUGGAGCCGGGGCGUGGGAUUGCGAGCCGCUAGUGGGCCACCUUUGGUAAGCAGAACUGGGGCGCUGGCGGGAUGAACCGAAAAGCCGGGUUAAGGCGGCCCGAUGCCGACGCUCAUCAGACCCCAAAAAGGUGUUGGUUGAUAUAGACAGCAGGACGGUGGCCAUUGGAAGUCGGAACCCGCUAAGGAGUGUCUAACAACUCAACCUGCCGAAUCAACUAGCCCUGGAAAAUGGAUGGCGCUGGAGCGUCGGGCCAUUACCGGCCGUCGCUGGCAACGAAGCCCGCGAGGGCUAGGCCGCGACGAGUAGGAGGGCCGCCGCGGUGCGCACAGAAGCCUGGGGCGCGAGCCCGGGUGGAGCCGCCGCGGGUGCAGGGGAGGGGUAGCAGUGUGAAGACAGAAGGGGAAAGAGAGACGAGUUUAUGAAAAUCGAGUUCCUUUUUUUUUUUUUUUUUUUUUUUUUGGUGGAGCCGCCGCGGGUGCAGAUCUUGGUGGUAGUAGCAAAUAUUCAAACGAGAACUUUGAAAGGCCGAAGUGGGAAAGGGUUCCAGUGAAAAACAGCAGUUGAACAUGGGGUCAGUCGGUCCUAAGGGAUGGGCGAACGCCUUCGGAAGUGCGGGGCGAUGGCCUUCUGUCGCCCCCGGCCGAUCGAAAGGGGAGUCGGGUUCAGAGAUCCCCGAACCUGGAGUGGCGGAGACAGGAGCGCGAGGCGUCCAGUGCGGUAACGCGAGCGAACCCGGAGAAGCCGGCGGGAGCCCCGGGGAGAGUUCUCUUUUCUUUGUGAAGGGCAGGGCGCCUGGAAUGGGUUCGGCCCCGAGGAGGGGCCCCGUGCCCUGGAAAGGUCGCGGUUCCGGCGGCGUCCGGUGAGCUCUCGCGCUGCCCUUGAAAAUCCGGGGGAGAGGGUGUAAAUCCGCGCAGGCCGUACCCUUAUCCGCAGCAGGUCUCCAAGGUGAACAGCCUGGCAUGUUAGAUAAGGGAGAUAUAAGGGAAGUCGGCCAAAUCAGAUCCGUAACUUUCGGGAUAGGAUUGGCUCUAAGGGCUGGGGUCGGUCGGGCUGGGGUGCGAAGCGAGGCUUGGCCUCGCGCCGCGGCGGGGGAGCAGUCGCCCCGUCGCCCUCCUCCCUCCGCCGCCGGAGGCGCGGCGACGGCCCGCCCUGUGGGGGGUUUUCCCCGCUCUCCUCCGUCUGGCUCGUCCAGGCGGCGGGGGGUCGGGGGGGCUUCUCGCGGGGCGGUGUCCGGCGCCGUGCGGAAGGCGGGUCGUGGGAGGGGGCCGGGUACGGCGGGUGCGGCUGCGACUCUGGACGCGCGCCGGGCCCUUCUCGCGGAUCUCCCCAGCUGCGGCUCCCGCCGGGGGUCCCCCCGUCCCGGCGGUGGGGUCCCCCCCGGCGGGCUGCCUCGGCCGGCACCCAGCAGCUGACUUAAACUGGUGCGGACCAGGGGAAUCCGACUGUUUAAUUAAAACAAAGCCAUCGCGAGGGCCCGCGGCGCGGGUGUUGACGCGAUGUGAUUUCUGCCCAGUGCUCUGAAUGGCAAAGUGAAGGAAAUUCAAUGAAGCGCGGGUAAAACCGGCGAAGUAACUAUGAACACUCUCUUAAGGGUAGCCAAUGCUCUAUGACUCUCUUAAGGUAGCCAAAUGCCUCGUCAUCUAAUUAGUGACGCGCAUGAAUUGGAUGAACGAGAUUCCCACUGUCCCUACCCCCUAUCUAGCGAAACCACAGCCAAGGGAACGGGCUUGGCAAAUCAGCGGGGAAAGAAGACCCUUUUGAGCUUGAACUCUAGUCUGGCACUGUGAAGAGACAUGAGAGGUGUAGAAAUAAGUGGGAGGCCCUCCGGCCGCCCGGUGGAAAUACCACUACUCUUAUCGUUUUUUCACUUACCCGGAGGGGCGGGGAGGAGAGCCCCGAGCGGGCUUCGCUUCUGGUCGAGCCCCGAGCGGGCUCUCGCUUCUGGUGUCAAGCGCCCGGCCUUCCAGGCCGGGCGUGACCCGCUCCGGGGACGUGGCAGGUGGGGAUUUUUACUGGGGCGGUACACCUAGAGCCCCGAGUGGGCCCUCGCUUCUGGCUUCAAACACCCGGCUCGCGUCGGGUGCGACCCGCUCCGGGGACAGUGGCAGGUGGGGGUUUACUGGUGGGGGUACACCCGUCAAACGGAACGCAGGGUGUCCUAAGGGCGAGCUUCAGGGAGGACAGGAACCCUCCCGGGGAGUAGAAGGGCCAAAAGCUCGCUUGAUCUUGAUUUUCAGUAUGAAUAACAGACCGUGGAAAGCGGUCAACAAGCUCACUCCUAAUUGGCGAGUGCGGUUGCCAUAGAAACGUUUGACUCUGACGGAGCCGGUCCAAUCACUGACAGGACAGUAAUCGUUCUGACUUUUUGGGUUUUAGGCAGGAGGUGUCAGAAAAGUGACCACAGGGACAGAAAAGUUACCACAGGGAUAACUGGCUUCAUAGCGACGUCGCUUUUUGAUCCUUCCUAUCAUUGUGAAGCAGACUUCCCCAAGCGUUGGAUUGUUCACCCACUAAUAGGGAACGUGAGCUGGGUUUAGACCGUCGUGAGACAGGUUAAUUUUCAUCAAAACGAUGGAAGUUUGCUUCCUUACUGCGCUUUUGUCAUAUCUGUUGUGUGUUUUGUCGUGAUUUGUUACGACACAAAUACUUUUGUGGUGUUUCAUAAUGUAGUCCAAAUAAAACUAAACGUGAUGCCUUCAUUUCUGCUUUUUAUUGUUUUCACCUCAACAGAUUCUUGGUGCACAUGAGAAAGUCCUGGUGGCGAUACACAAACAUCAUAAAUGACACACAUGGACAAAUGAGAAAACACAAGCUGCAUUAUGAACAAACACAUCAGC